Molecule: transfer RNA, 76 nt
Filed under: Bacillota bacterium
Lineage: Bacteria; Bacillati; Bacillota
Also listed under: 1 other name
Description: tRNA-Trp
Rfam family: tRNA
About the family: Transfer RNA (tRNA) molecules are approximately 80 nucleotides in length. Their secondary structure includes four short double-helical elements and three loops (D, anti-codon, and T loops). Further hydrogen bonds mediate the characteristic L-shaped molecular structure. tRNAs have two regions of fundamental functional importance: the anti-codon, which is responsible for specific mRNA codon recognition, and the 3' end, to which the tRNAs corresponding amino acid is attached (by aminoacyl-tRNA synthetases). tRNAs cope with the degeneracy of the genetic code in two manners: having more than one tRNA (with a specific anti-codon) for a particular amino acid; and 'wobble' base-pairing, i.e. permitting non-standard base-pairing at the 3rd anti-codon position.
Source: RNAcentral
AGGGGUAUAGCUCAACUGGUAGAGUAGUGGACUCCAAAUCCAUUGGUUGAGGGUUCAAGUCCUUCUGCCCCUGCCA